Molecule: ribosomal RNA, 1346 nt
Filed under: uncultured bacterium
Lineage: Bacteria
Description: partial 16S ribosomal RNA
Rfam family: Bacterial small subunit ribosomal RNA
Source: RNAcentral
GACGAACGCUGGCGGCGUGCUUAACACAUGCAAGUCGAACGGAAAGGCCCUGCUUUUGUGGGGUGCUCGAGUGGCGAACGGGUGAGUAACACGUGAGUAACCUGCCCUUGACUUUGGGAUAACUUCAGGAAACUGGGGCUAAUACCGGAUAGGAGCUCCUGCUGCAUGGUGGGGGUUGGAAAGUUUCGGCGGUUGGGGAUGGACUCGCGGCUUAUCAGCUUGUUGGUGGGGUAGUGGCUUACCAAGGCUUUGACGGGUAGCCGGCCUGAGAGGGUGACCGGCCACAUUGGGACUGAGAUACGGCCCAGACUCCUACGGGAGGCAGCAGUGGGGAAUAUUGCACAAUGGGCGGAAGCCUGAUGCAGCAACGCCGCGUGCGGGAUGACGGCCUUCGGGUUGUAAACCGCUUUCGCCUGUGACGAAGCGUGAGUGACGGUAAUGGGUAAAGAAGCACCGGCUAACUACGUGCCAGCAGCCGCGGUGAUACGUAGGGUGCGAGCGUUGUCCGGAUUUAUUGGGCGUAAAGGGCUCGUAGGUGGUUGAUCGCGUCGGAAGUGUAAUCUUGGGGCUUAACCCUGAGCGUGCUUUCGAUACGGGUUGACUUGAGGAAGGUAGGGGAGAAUGGAAUUCCUGGUGGAGCGGUGGAAUGCGCAGAUAUCAGAAGGAACACCAGUGGCGAAGGCGGUUCUCUGGGCCUUUCCUGACGCUGAGGAGCGAAAGCGUGGGGAGCGAACAGGCUUAGAUACCCUGGUAGUCCACGCUGUAAACGGUGGGUACUAGGUGUGGGGUCCAUUCCACGGGUUCCGUGCCGUAGCUAACGCUUUAAGUACCCCGCCUGGGGAGUACGGCCGCAAGGCUAAAACUCAAAGGAAUUGACGGGGCCCCGCACAAGCGGCGGAGCAUGCGGAUUAAUUCGAUGCAACGCGUAGAACCUUACCUGGGUUUGACAUGGAUCGGGAGUGCUCAGAGAUGGGUGUGCCUCUUUUGGGGUCGGUUCACAGGUGGUGCAUGGCUGUCGUCAGCUCGUGUCGUGAGAUGUUGGGUUAAGUCCCGCAACGAGCGCAACCCUUGUUCACUGUUGCCAGCACGUUAUGGUGGGGACUCAGUGGAGACCGCCGGGGUCAACUCGGAGGAAGGUGGGGAUGACGUCAAGUCAUCAUGCCCCUUAUGUCCAGGGCUUCACGCAUGCUACAAUGGCUGGUACAGAGAGUGGCGAGCCUGUGAGGGUGAGCGAAUCUCGGAAAGCCGGUCUCAGUUCGGAUUGGGGUCUGCAACUCGACCUCAUGAAGUCGGAGUCGCUAGUAAUCGCAGAUCAGCAACGCUGCGGUGAAUACGUUCCCGGGGCU